CCUACGGGAGGCAGCAGUGAGGAAUAUUGGUCAAUGGGAGGAAUCCUGAACCAGCCAUGCCGCGUGCAGGACGACGGCUCUACGAGUUGUAAACUGCUUUUGUACCGGGGUAAAAUGCUCUACGAGUAGGGUUUUGAACGUACGGUACGAAUAAGGACAGGCUCACUCCGUGCCAGCAGCCGCGGUAAUACGGAGGAUCCGAGCGUUAUCCGGAGUCAAUGGGUGUAAAGGGUUCGUAGGUUGUUUUAUAAGUUAGCGUUGAAAUACCGAUGCUAAACAUCGGGGCUUCCGCUAAUACUGUAGGACUAGGGAUCGGAUGCAGCAGGGGGAAUGUGUAGGGUAGCGGUGAAAGGGA
This 355-nucleotide ribosomal RNA is filed under the name uncultured bacterium. RNAcentral's name for it is "partial 16S ribosomal RNA". It matches the Rfam family "Bacterial small subunit ribosomal RNA", at positions 338 to 690 of the family's 1533-position model. The record is from RNAcentral.